GCUCGCCCUCCUGCUGGGGCUGCCUGUGCCAGGCUCUCAGAAGACAUAAUGUGCUUCCUAGGGCUUUUUUUUUUUUUUUUUUUUUUUUUUUUUUUUAAGGCAGGCGGUGGAACCACUGAGCUAAAUUCCCGGCCCAAAGAGUCUUGAUUUUAUUCUACAGGUAAAGAGCCAAAUAAACUUUUAUGCAAAGGAGUGACAUGAAUCAACCUAUAUCUUGUAGCACAAUGAGAAGAGGGAGACAAGGGGAUGACUGAAGAGGCACAUACAACACUGUGAGCAGAAGGGUGAGGGUUACUCUCAGGUAGUGGCAAAGAAAAGAGGAUGACAAGUGAUGCCUCCCAGGGCUGCCCUAUGAAAAGUAGAGCAUCCAUAAUCUGAGGCCUGAGAAACAGACAAGCCACUCCUAAGCAAGCUUUCUCACUUUGGACAAGGAGGAGGAAGAGCAGGUCUACACGGUUAAGGGAGGGGAUAAGAUGUAUUUGUGGCACUGACUGUCUUAGGUGCCUGCUGGACCUGCACAUGGAAUGCAAGCUGUAUGAUUAUUUUGAAACUCCAGGCCCUCUUCCCUUGGACUCGCGACUUGGAUUUCUGGACUCAGCGCAUGAAGAAACUAGAAAAGCACCAGACUCUAUGGAGGACAGUUUGGGUUCCCAUAGAGAAGGCAUCGACACAGGGACAGUGAAGAAACCUUUUAGAGACUGAGUGCUGCAACCCCAAAUCCAGUUAUUUAUCACAAAGCGCAACACUCCACAGGUAAACCUGAAUACUGAGCUUUUAGUAAAGAAAAUAGAACUCAUAGUAC
RNAcentral lists this long non-coding RNA (802 nucleotides) under Fukomys damarensis (Damara mole-rat). RNAcentral's name for it is "lncRNA (ENSFDAG00000029119.1)". The record is from RNAcentral. Lineage: Eukaryota; Metazoa; Chordata; Mammalia; Rodentia; Bathyergidae.